UGGACCAAUGAUGAUAAAUACUGGCGUAUGAGUCUUGAAUGAUGAAUAAUACAUGUCUGGAACCCUGAGGUCCAA
This 75-nucleotide small nucleolar RNA is filed under the name Mandrillus leucophaeus (drill). Its description in RNAcentral is "Small nucleolar RNA SNORD113/SNORD114 family (ENSMLEG00000024873.1)". It matches the Rfam family "Small nucleolar RNA SNORD113/SNORD114 family". From Rfam's summary of the family: The imprinted human domain at 14q32 contains two clusters of tandemly repeated small nucleolar RNAs named 14q(I) and 14q(II) snoRNAs. Lineage: Eukaryota; Metazoa; Chordata; Mammalia; Primates; Cercopithecidae. The record is from Rfam by way of RNAcentral.